AUGCUUAAAUUCCUGGAUGUAAACGCACACUUGCCUCCUACACAGGCCAAAAUACUAUUGGAGAUAAGGAUACUUGUUUUGCAUAUUUGCAUCUCGAAGAAGCUUGCCCGCUAUUGUAAGUCUGACAUUUUCUUGCUUGCUUGUGGAAAAACUGGUUCUCAUUCAGUUAUGCUUGUCAGUCUGAUAGAAGAUGGACACCCCUCUUUAAGUUGGUUUAUGGGCUUGCGGAGUGUGAGAAACCCUUGGUAUGCCUCCAUCCUUCGUCCCUUGCUCCGUGGCCUGGAUGUCGAGGGAGGGCGAGAGGUGGUGAUAUGCAGGGGUGAGGGAGAUGGAGGCGGUGACCUGCAGCUCCUAUUGAAGGGGCGGAGAAGAGGGGGUGCGGAGAUGAGAGGCUAUUGUUGUUUAUUCCUUCAUGCAGUAUUUCUGAGUUGGUUCACUCUGAAAAAAGGCAAUGGAACACUAAAUAACCUGGCAACGGAUACCCUGUGGUCUACCAUUAUAAUUAUGUGUGCAUUUUGGAUCUAUUGGAUGUCUGAAUGUAAUGCUAAUCGACAUUUACUGAUGCAAAGAUUUUGCAGGGAUGUAGAUAUAUAUGGUGAUGUUUCACUACGAUCUAAGUGUUUCAGUUCAUAUUUAGCAGGAUCACAUUUUGACCAAUGA
RNAcentral lists this ribosomal RNA (660 nucleotides) under Triticum aestivum (bread wheat). RNAcentral's name for it is "partial small subunit ribosomal RNA". Lineage: Eukaryota; Viridiplantae; Streptophyta; Magnoliopsida; Poales; Poaceae. The record is from RNAcentral.